GACGAACGCUGGCGGCGUGCUUAACACAUGCAAGUCGAACGGAAAGGCCCUGCUUUUGUGGGGUGCUCGAGUGGCGAACGGGUGAGUAACACAUGAGUAACCUGCCCUUGACUUUGGGAUAACUUCAGGAAACUGGGGCUAAUACCGGAUAGGAACUCCUUCUGCAUGGUGGGGGUUGGAAAGUUUCGGCGGUUGGGGAUGGACUCGCGGCUUAUCAGCUUGUUGGUGGGGUAGUGGCUUACCAAGGCUUUGACGGGUAGCCGGCCUGAGAGGGUGACCGGCCACAUUGGGACUGAGAUACGGCCCAGACUCCUACGGGAGGCAGCAGUGGGGAAUAUUGCAAAAUGGGCGGAAGCCUGAUGCAGCAACGCCGCGUGCGGGAUGACGGCCUUCGGGUUGUAAACCGCGUUCGCCUGUGACGAAGAGUGAGUGACGGUAAUGGGUAAAGAAGCACCGGCUAACUACGUG
This 468-nucleotide ribosomal RNA is filed under the name uncultured bacterium. Its description in RNAcentral is "partial 16S ribosomal RNA". It matches the Rfam family "Bacterial small subunit ribosomal RNA", at positions 28 to 507 of the family's 1533-position model. The record is from RNAcentral.